RNAcentral lists this ribosomal RNA (762 nucleotides) under Leucobacter chromiiresistens. Its description in RNAcentral is "bacterial SSU rRNA". It matches the Rfam family "Bacterial small subunit ribosomal RNA", at positions 79 to 854 of the family's 1533-position model. The record is from RNAcentral. Lineage: Bacteria; Bacillati; Actinomycetota; Actinomycetes; Micrococcales; Microbacteriaceae.
GCUGGGGGUGGAUGAGUGGCGAACGGGUGAGUAACACGUGAGUAACCUGCCCCGAACUCUGGGAUAAGCGCUGGAAACGGCGUCUAAUACUGGAUAUGUCCUAUCACCGCAUGGUGUGUAGGUGGAAAGAAUUUCGGUUCGGGAUGGACUCGCGGCCUAUCAGCUAGAUGGUGAGGUAAUGGCUCACCAUGGCGACGACGGGUAGCCGGCCUGAGAGGGUGACCGGCCACACUGGGACUGAGACACGGCCCAGACUCCUACGGGAGGCAGCAGUGGGGAAUAUUGCACAAUGGGCGCAAGCCUGAUGCAGCAACGCCGCGUGAGGGAUGACGGCCUUCGGGUUGUAAACCUCUUUUAGUAGGGAAGAAGCGAAAGUGACGGUACCUGCAGAAAAAGCACCGGCUAACUACGUGCCAGCAGCCGCGGUAAUACGUAGGGUGCAAGCGUUGUCCGGAAUUAUUGGGCGUAAAGAGCUCGUAGGCGGCUUGUCGCGUCUGCUGUGAAAACCAGAGGCUCAACCUCUGGCCUGCAGUGGGUACGGGCAAGCUAGAGUGCGGUAGGGGAGAUUGGAAUUCCUGGUGUAGCGGUGGAAUGCGCAGAUAUCAGGAGGAACACCGAUGGCGAAGGCAGAUCUCUGGGCCGUAACUGACGCUGAGGAGCGAAAGCAUGGGGAGCGAACAGGAUUAGAUACCCUGGUAGUCCAUGCCGUAAACGUUGGGAACUAGAUGUAGGGCCUGUUCCACGGGUUCUGUGUCGUAGCUA